RNAcentral lists this ribosomal RNA (1746 nucleotides) under human gut metagenome. RNAcentral's name for it is "bacterial LSU rRNA". It matches the Rfam family "Bacterial large subunit ribosomal RNA", at positions 487 to 2246 of the family's 2925-position model. The record is from RNAcentral.
AUAGCGCAUAGUACUGUGAAGGAAAGGUGAAAAGGACCCCGGGAGGGGAGUGAAAGAGAACCUGAAACCUUGUGCUUACAAACAGUAGGAGGAGCAUAAGCUCUGACUGCGUACUUUUUGUAGAACGGUCCGGCGAGUUACUAAUAUUAGCGAGGUUAAAUACUAACAAGGUAUGGAGCCGAAGGGAAACCGAGUCUGAAAAGGGCGAGAAGUUAGUAUUAGUAGACCCGAAACCGGGUGACCUAUCCAUGUCCAGGUUGAAGUUACCGUAAAAGGUAAUGGAGGACCGAACGCACAUCUGUUGAAAAAGGUGGCGAUGAGGUGUGGAUAGCGGAGAAAUUCCAAUCGAACUCGGAGAUAGCUGGUUCUCCUCGAAAUAGCUUUAGGGCUAGCCUUGAGGUAAAGUCUAAUGGAGGUAAAGCACUGAUUGGACGCGGGUCCCCAAAAGGAUACCAACUUCUAUCAAACUCAGAAUGCCAUAUAGAUAUACUCAGGAGUCAGACUAUGUGAGAUAAGUUUCAUAGUCAAAAGGGAAAGAGCCCAGACCGACAGCUAAGGUCCCAAAGUGUGUGUUAAGUGGAAAAGGAUGUGGGAUUUCAUAGACAACUAGGAUGUUGGCUUAGAAGCAGCCAUACAUUUAAAGAGUGCGUAAUAGCUCACUAGUCGAGAGAACCUGCGCCGAAAAUAAUCGGGGCUAAAACACACCACCGAAGCUACGGAUUUCCUGCUUAAGGUAGGAAGUGGUAGAGGAGCAUACUGCAAGGACGAAGCCUGAUUGAGAGAGAAGGUGGACGAAGCAGUAGAGAGAAUGCCGGAAUGAGUAGCGAGAUAUAUGUGAGAACCAUAUAGGCCGAAUAUCUAAGGUUUCCUGAGUGAAGCUAAUCUGCUCAGGGUAAGUCGGGACCUAAGGCGAGGACGAGAGUCGUAGUCGAUGGACAACUGGUAGAGAUUCCAGUACUAUGUAUAAUCAGAACUGUGGGGACGCAGGAGGAUAGAUGGACCGCGGAAAGGGAAGACGCGGCCAAGUACAAAGUCAAGUUAGGUAGGCAAAUCCGCCAAACGAUGAUGAAGUACGACGGGGACUGAAAGAAAGUAAGGAAGUCAUUGAAUCCACACUGUCAAGAAAAGCCGCUAUUGCGUUAUACGUACCCGUACCGCAAACCGACACAGGUAGACGAGGAGAAAAUCCACAGACCGACGGGAGAAGUGUUGUUAAGGAACUCGGCAAAAUGACCCCGUAACUUAGGGAGAAGGGGUGCCAUGUGAGAGCAUGGUCGCAGAGAAGAGGCCCAAGCGACUGUUUAGCAAAAACCCAGGUUUCUGCGAACCCGAAAGGGGAAGUAUAGGAGCUGACGCCUGCCCGGUGCUGGAAGGUUAAGGGGAGGGCUCAGGAGAAAUCCGAAGGUUCGAACUUAAGCCCCAGUAAACGGCGGCCGUAACUAUAACGGUCCUAAGGUAGCGAAAUUCCUUGUCAGGUAAGUUCUGACCCGCACGAAAGGUGUAAUGAUUUGAGCACUGUCUCGACAACACGCCCGGUGAAAUUGAAGAACCAGUGAAGAUACUGGUUACCCGCAACAGGACGGAAAGACCCCAUGGAGCUUUACUGCAGCUUAAUAUUGGGAUUCGGUAUUGUAUGUACAGGAUAGGAGGGAGACUAAGAAGCUAGCACGCCAGUGUUGGUGGAGUCGAUGGUGGGAUACCUCUCUUAUAAUACUGAAUUUCUAACCUACUUCCGUAAUCCGGAAG